This 251-nucleotide ribosomal RNA is filed under the name uncultured prokaryote. Its description in RNAcentral is "partial 16S rRNA". It matches the Rfam family "Bacterial small subunit ribosomal RNA", at positions 525 to 775 of the family's 1533-position model. The record is from RNAcentral.
ACGUAGGGUGCAAGCGUUAUCCGGAAUUACUGGGCGUAAAGAGCUCGUAGGUGGUUUUUUAAGUUUGAAGUGAAAGCCUAUAGCUUAACUAUUGUAGUGCUUGCGAAACUGGAAGACUUGAGUGCAGGAGAGGAAAAUGGAAUUCCUGGUGUAGCGGUGAAAUGCGUAGAUAUCAGGAGGAACACCGGUGGCGAAGGCGACUUUCUGGACUGUAACUGACGCUGAGGCGCGAAAGCGUGGGGAGCAAACAG